Molecule: ribosomal RNA, 240 nt
Filed under: uncultured bacterium
Lineage: Bacteria
Description: partial 16S ribosomal RNA
Rfam family: Bacterial small subunit ribosomal RNA
Source: RNAcentral
AGCGGAGGAACAUGUGGUUUAAUUCGAUGAUACGCGAGGAACCUUAGCCGGGCUUGAAUUGACAGAGGAAGGAUUUGGAGACAAUGACGCCCUUCGGGGUCUCUGUGAAGGUGCUGCAUGGUUGUCGUCAGCUCGUGCCGUGAGGUGUCGGCUUAAGUGCCAUAACGAGCGCAACCCCUCUCCUUAGUUGCCAUCAGGUGAAGCUGGGCACUCUGGGGACACUGCCACCGUAAGGUGUGA